This 136-nucleotide small nucleolar RNA is filed under the name Echinops telfairi (small Madagascar hedgehog). Lineage: Eukaryota; Metazoa; Chordata; Mammalia; Afrosoricida; Tenrecidae. The record is from RNAcentral.
CCCCUUUGGAAAGCACUCAUUGGGCCUUUUGCCUGUGACCCAGUGAGCCGUCAAAACUGGCAGAUUAAAAAAUACCACUUUGGGGUGAAGCGGCAACAUCUCAUGUUGUUCAGCUUCAAUCAGUGAUGUGACCAAA